UUUAUAUGAGAGUUUGAUCCUGGCUCAGGAUGAACGCCGGCGGUGUGCCUAAUACAUGCAAGUCGUACGCACUGGCCCAACUGAUUGAUGGUGCUUGCACCUGAUUGAUGAUGGAUCACCAGUGAGUGGCGGACGGGUGAGUAACACGUAGGUAACCUGCCCCGGAGCGGGGGAUAACAUUUGGAAACAGAUGCUAAUACCGCAUAACAACAAAAGCCACAUGGUUUUUGUUUGAAAGAUGGCUUUGGCUAUCACUCUGGGAUGGACCUGCGGUGCAUUAGCUAGUUGGUAAGGUAACGGCUUACCAAGGCGAUGAUGCAUAGCCGAGUUGAGAGACUGAUCGG
Molecule: ribosomal RNA, 344 nt
Filed under: Limosilactobacillus reuteri
Lineage: Bacteria; Bacillati; Bacillota; Bacilli; Lactobacillales; Lactobacillaceae
Description: bacterial SSU rRNA
Rfam family: Bacterial small subunit ribosomal RNA
Source: RNAcentral